This 447-nucleotide ribosomal RNA is filed under the name uncultured bacterium. RNAcentral's name for it is "partial 16S ribosomal RNA". It matches the Rfam family "Bacterial small subunit ribosomal RNA", at positions 29 to 523 of the family's 1533-position model. The record is from RNAcentral.
AGCGAACGCUGGCGGCAGGCUUAACACAUGCAAGUCGAACGCCCCGCAAGGGGAGUGGCAGACGGGCGAGGAACACGUGGGAACGUACCCUUCGGUUCGGAAUAACUCAGGGAAACUUGUGAUACUACCGGACACGUCCGAAAGGAGAAAGAUUUAUCGCCGAAGGAGCGGGCCGCGUCUGAUUAGCUUGUUGGUGAGGUAACGGCUCACCAAGGCGACGAUCAGUAGCUGGUCUGGGAAGAUGGUCAGCCACACUGGGACUGAGACACGGCCCAGACUCCUACGGGAGGGAGCAGUGGGGAAUAUUGGACAAUGGGGGCAUCCCUGAUCCAGUCAUGCUGCGUGAGUGAUGAAUGCCUUAGGAUUGUAAAGCUCUGUUGUCCGGGAAGGUAAUGACGGUACCGGAAGAAUAAGCCCCGGCUAACUUCGUGCCAGCAGCCGCAGUAA